AGGAAAGGAGUAAUUCUGUCGUUUGGGGUAUAAGGUGUGGAAAGAGAGGGAAGGAGGUAGGCUGGAAUGGGCUGGGAAUUGGGAGAGACUAGACACUCUCUAACUGUCUAGAAAUACUUGCUUUACAGUAGUCUUUUCCCUGGGAUAUACAAUCCGUUUUCUUUAUUAAUAAAGUGAUAUAUUCAGCUAUAUUGUGUUUCCUUAUUUCUGGUAUCUAUCACAAACAAACAAGUAUAGCCAGUUAAAAAUUGAUCCAGAAAACACUGCACUGUACCAGUAAAUAAAACCCUUAGCUUCACAGUGCACAAAAUUUCCAUGCACUAUUUAAACCCCUACACCAUAACAGGCUCGAAGAUCAUAAUCUUCAAUGAUCAAGUAUUGCUCUUGUAUGGACAAACACCGAAUGAUUCAUGUACCUUCCAAAUCAACCACUUAAGAAUAAUAGUGAAUGCAAACAUAAUAAAACGAGAGAGACUACAACCAUUCGAAAAAGUAAUCUACCGCCAUUGCCUCCACAACACUACAGACAUCCAUAGCAAGCAAGUUUCCACUGCAAAUGCCGAAGGCACAACUCUACACAACUCUACAAAUGCCAAAGCCUCUCAUACUCAUAGUGCCUGUUUACAAGAACUCCCACUCCAAAAGUUUAGCCAGAAAAAUAAUUGUGAAGAAAAUAACGAAUGUAAAGAUAAUAGAACCUAAAGUUUCCCUGGAUAUCCAACCACUGCUUCCCAAACCUAUCCACCACCCACUAUUUGCACACCCUGCACCCACUUCAUUUUAGUUUCCCUGCAAAGCCCAUGCAUACAAAAAAAAUAUAAUUAAUCUGGGUAGAAGAUGAAGGAGCUAAUCAAUAAGAUAAAAACAGGAAUUAAAAUUCCAAAGGAGAUAUUCCCAAAACAGGCUCGGUGAUCAUAAUGUUCAGCAUUACUGAUCUUGCACCAUGGCCGGAACAUGUACCUUACUACAACCAAUAAAAGAGACUUUUCCAACUCGACAGACAAAAGGCCCAAACAACUACAACCAAUAAAAGAGACUAAAGUCCUUCCAACUCGAGCAGAUAAAAAAUAGUAAAUGAGAACGUAAUAAAACAUGAAGCUUUGAAGUAAGUUAAAUAAUCUAAACCUACUGUAUCCAGAUCCAAUAUACAUCUUCUUCACUGCAACAUGAGCAGAAGAGCAUAGUCAAAAUCAACAGCCAACUGUCACAACACAAAUGUCAAAGCCUCUCACUCAUAGAGUGCCUAUUUACAAAUCUCCCACUCCACAAUUUUAACAUGACAAAUAACGUCAAUGAAAAUAGUCAAUGAAAAUAGUGAGUUCAAAGAAAACGAAUUCAAAGAUAAUAAAACCUUACGUUCAACAUAUCUCCAUCCACUGCUACCUAAACUUGCCCACCACCCACCAUUUGCUCACCCUGCACCCAUUUCAAUUCUUCUUUUCCUGUAAACUCAUUAAUCCAAGAAAACAAUAAUCAAUAUGGGUAGAAGAUAAAGGGUCACCCAUCCAUUAAAAAAACAAUAAUCAAUUUGGAUAGAAGACGAAGGACCAACACCAUAAGAUGAAUAAACAAAUUCAGGAACCAAAAAACUAAUUGAGAAACUUCCAUAGCAGGCUCGAUCUUCAUAAUCUUAAGCAAUCAAGUAUUGCUAUAAUUAAUCUGGGUAGAAGAUGAAGGACCUAGAAGAUAAGAUGAAUAAUGUCCAGCAAUCAAGUAUCGCUCUUGUUUUAACAAAGACCAUGCCCAAAACAUGUACCUUCCUAAAACAAAUAAGAGAGACUAAAGCCACUCGGGCACACAAGAAAACAAGUAAAUGACUCUUCAAUGCAAAAGGAGUGGGAGAAGAUGAUCAAAAUCAACGGAGUCAAUGGUCAAACAACCCAAACGACAAAGCCUCCACUCAGAGUGCCUACUUUCAGGAUCUCCCACUCCAAAAGUCAGAGCCAAAUGUCAAAGGCUCUCACUCAUAGAGUGCCUACUAUCAUGAUCUCCCGCUCCAAAACAUAGACCCAAAUACCGAAGCCUCAAACUCAUAGAAUGCGUACAUUAAAGAUCUCCCACUCGAAAAGUUUAGUUUGAAGACCGAAACCAGCCCACCACCCACCAUUUGCAAACCCCUGCACACAUUUCAUUUCUUUGUUUCCGUGUAAAGCCCAUCAAUUCAAGAAAACAAUAAUCAAUUUGGGUAGAAGAUGAAGAACUAAGACCCCAUCCAUUCAAGAAAUUUGGGUAAAUGAUGAAAGACCCAAGCCCAUAAGAUGAAUAAACAAAUUCAAAAACAAAAAUACUAAUUGAGAAACUUCCAUAGUAGGUUCGAUCAUCAUAAGGUUCAGCGAUCAAGUAUUACUCAUGCUUAGAUAAACACCAUGGCUGACACAUGAACGUUCCUACAACCAAUACGUUUUUUCAUGUAAAGCCCACGUAUUCAAUAAAACUACAAUUAAUCUGGGCAGAAGAUGAAAGACCUAGAUGACAAGACGAAUAAACAAAUUAAAGAAUUAAAAAAACAAUGGAUAAAUUUCCAUAACAGAUUCUUUGACCAUAUUUUUCCAGUGAGCGUGUACCUUCCUACAACCUACAACCAAUAAGAGAGACUAAAGCCACUUAAGCAAACUAGAAUAAUCGUAAAUGAGAAUGUAAUUAAACAUAAAGCUUUGCAGUAAUUUAAAUAAUCUACACCUNCUGCAUGCACGAUCCAAUAAACAUCCUCUUCACNGCAAGAGGAGUAGAAGAAGAUAAUCAAAAUCAACAGAGCCAACAGAUCAACAACCCAAAUGUCAAAGCCUCUCACUUAUAGAGUGCAUACUUUAAAGAUCUCCCAUUCCACAAGUUUAGUUUGAAAAAUAACAGCAAUGAAAUUAACGAAUGCAAAGANAAUAAAACAAAGGGAUAAUAAAACAAAGGGUUACACCGGAGCUCCANCCAUUGUUACCAUCCACUGUUUCUGAAGCUGCNCACCACCCACCAUUUGCAUACCCUGCAAUCACUUGAUUUCUUAGUUUUCUUGUAAAGCCCAUCGAUCAGAUGAAGGACCUAGAUGAUAUGAUAAAUAAACAAAUACAAUAAUUAAAAAACCAAUGGAGAAAUUUCCAAACAAGCUCGAUCAUGUUAAUGUUCCAGCGAUCAAUUAUUGCUCUUGUAUAGACAAACCCCAUGGCCGAAACAUGUACCUCCCUACAACAAACAAGAGAGACUAAAGCCAAUCCACCUAGAACAGACAAGAAAAAUAGUACAUCAGAAUCAAAGAAAACAUAAAGCUCUAUGGUAAGUUAAAUAACCUACAACUACUGCGCCCACGAUCCAAUAGACAUCUUCAUUGCAAGAUGAGUAGAAGAAGAUUAAUCAAAAUCAACAGCCAAAGGUCCAACGAGACUAUCACUCAUAGAGUGCCUACUUUCAAGAUCUACCACUCCAAGUUUAGUUUGAAGAAUAACGGCAAUCAAAAUAAUAAAUUAAAAAAUAAUAAAACCUAAGGUUCACCAGAUUUCCACUCAAAAAUAAUAAAACCUAAGAAUCACCGGAUUUCCAUCCACCAUUACCGCAACCUGCCCACCACCCAUCAUUUACACACCCUGCACACAUUUCAUUUCUUAGUUUCCGUGUAAAGCCCAUCAAUUCAAGAAAACAAUAAUCAAUUUGGAUAGAAGAUGAAGGAUCUCGAUCAAAUCCAUUCAAGAAAUUUGGGUAGAAGAUGAAAGACCCAAGACCAUAAUAUGAAUAAACAAAUUAGCGAAUAUUAAUUGAGAAACUUCCUUAGUAGGCUCGAUCAAGUAUUGCUCAGCCUUACACAAACACCAUGACUGACACAUGUACCUUUCUACAACCAAUACGUUUUCAUGUAAAGCCCAUGUAUUCAAUAAAACUAUAAUUAAUCUGGGUAGAAGAUGAAGGACCUAGAUGAUAAGAUGAAUAACCAAAAUAAAGAAUUAAAAACCCAAUGGAGAAAUUUCCAUAACAGAUUCUCUGACCACAAUUGUCCAUUUAGCAUGUACCUUCCUACAACCAAUAAGAGAGACAAAAGCCACUUGAGCAGACUAGAAUAAUAGUAAAUGAGAAUGUAAUAAAACAUAAAGCUUUCGAGUAAGUUAAAUAAUCUACACCUAUUGCAUGCAUGAUCCAAUAGACAUCCUCUUCACUGCAAGAAGAGUAGAAGAAGAUAAUCAAAAUCAACAGAGCCAACAGUCCAACAACCCAAAUGUCAAAGCCUCUCACUUAUAGUGCCUACUUUAAAGAUCUCCCAUUCCACAAGUUUAGUUUGAAAAAUAACGAUUAUAGAGAUAACCAAUGCAAAGAUAAUAAAACAAAGGGUCACCGGAGCUCCAUCCAUUGUUACCAUACACUGUUUCUGAAGUUGCUCACCACCCACCAUUUGCAUACCCUGCACCCAUUUCAUUUCUUAGUUUUCUUGUAAAGCCCAUUGAUUAACUAUAAUUAAUUUGGGUAGAAGAUGAAGGACCUCGAUGAUAAGAUAAAUAAACAAAUACAAUAAUUAAAAAAUCAAUGGAGAAAUUUCCAAACAAGCUCGAUCAUCAUAAUGAUCCAGCAUUAAUUAUUGCUGUUGCAUAUAGACAAACACCAUGGAGGAAAAAGAUAGCUAGUCUAUAACAAGCAUAUAUCAACACAAUGUACAUACUUGUUAGCACUUAGAGAGAAUAGAAAAAUAAGAAAGUGUACUUAAAUGCUUAACGGUUAAGGGGUCGGGAUUGGUGUCUGCAUAAGAGACCUCUUUUAUUGUUUUCAGCAGACAAUUAGUAAUCUUGUGUGUGUAGACUGGUCUUGAAC
This 4782-nucleotide long non-coding RNA is filed under the name Vigna radiata. Its description in RNAcentral is "long non-coding RNA (VRAD_LNC007453)". The record is from RNAcentral. Lineage: Eukaryota; Viridiplantae; Streptophyta; Magnoliopsida; Fabales; Fabaceae.